AAUGAACGCUGGCGGCGUGCCUAACACAUGCAAGUCGAACGAGAAAGCCUGGCUUGCCAGGCAAGUAAAGUGGCGCACGGGUGAGUAACGCGUGGGUAAUCUACCUUUGUCUGGGGGAUAACAUACCGAAAGGUGUGCUAAUACCGCAUAACGUGAUCGGAUUGCGAUUUGAUCACCAAAGAAGGCCUCUCCCUGGAAGCUUUCGGGUAAAGAUGAGCCCGCGUCCCAUUAGCUAGUUGGUAAGGUAAGGCUUACCAAGGCAAUGACGGGUAGGGGACCUGAGAGGGUGGCCCCCCACAAUGGAACUGAAACACGGUCCAUACACCUACGGGAGGCAG
This 338-nucleotide ribosomal RNA is filed under the name uncultured Pseudomonadota bacterium. RNAcentral describes it as "bacterial SSU rRNA". It matches the Rfam family "Bacterial small subunit ribosomal RNA", at positions 29 to 351 of the family's 1533-position model. The record is from RNAcentral. Lineage: Bacteria; Pseudomonadati; Pseudomonadota.